CAAUGAAAUUGGAUUCUCCUUUACAGAGAGCUCCUUUAUCUUGCUCUGCCUUCUUUUUCUUCUCUUUUAUUUUUUGGCGCUAAUUUGUGUUGUGAUGCUCUUGUCUUCCAAUGACAGUACCCUAUCGAAGCUCUUCCCCUAUCAUAGGAGAUUCCUCUGAAGUCGAUGAUCCAGGAUCUCAGAAGGAAAGUCUGUCACUUGAUGAAGAAAUCAAAGAAGCUAGAUGAUGAACUUCACCG
RNAcentral lists this long non-coding RNA (239 nucleotides) under Elaeis guineensis (African oil palm). Its description in RNAcentral is "long non-coding RNA (EGUI_LNC047906)". Lineage: Eukaryota; Viridiplantae; Streptophyta; Magnoliopsida; Arecales; Arecaceae. The record is from RNAcentral.